This 87-nucleotide transfer RNA is filed under the name Nitrosarchaeum sp. RNAcentral's name for it is "tRNA-Tyr". It matches the Rfam family "tRNA". From Rfam's summary of the family: Transfer RNA (tRNA) molecules are approximately 80 nucleotides in length. Their secondary structure includes four short double-helical elements and three loops (D, anti-codon, and T loops). The record is from RNAcentral. Lineage: Archaea; Thermoproteati; Nitrososphaerota; Nitrososphaeria; Nitrosopumilales; Nitrosopumilaceae.
GGGUUGGUCGUACAGCGGCAAGUACAACGGUCUGUAAAAUCGUCGACCGUAAGGUCUCCGAAGGUUCGAGUCCUUCCCAGCCCACCA